GAUGAACGCUGGCGGCGUGCUUAACACAUGCAAGUCGAACGAGAAGUGAAGACGGAAACCUUCGGGCGGAAGGCUUUAUUUCGAGUGGCGGACGGGUGAGUAACGCGUGGGUAACCUGCCUCAUACAGGGGGAUAACAGUUGGAAACGACUGUUAAUACCGCAUAAGGCCACAGCACCGCAUGGUGCGGGGGUAAAAACUCCGGUGGUAUGAGAUGGACCCGCGUUCGAUUAGCCAGUUGGCGGGGUAACGGCCCACCAAAGCGACGAUCGAUAGCCGAUCUGAGAGGAUGACCGGCCACAUUGGGACUGAGACACGGCCCAAACUCCUACGGGAGGCAGCAGUGGGGAAUAUUGCACAAUGGGGGAAACCCUGAUGCAGCGACGCCGCGUGAGUGAAGAAGUAUUUCGGUAUGUAAAGCUCUAUCAGCAGGGAAGAAAAUGACGGUACCUGAGGAAGAAGCCCCGGCUAACUACGUG
This 478-nucleotide ribosomal RNA is filed under the name uncultured bacterium. RNAcentral's name for it is "partial 16S ribosomal RNA". It matches the Rfam family "Bacterial small subunit ribosomal RNA", at positions 28 to 507 of the family's 1533-position model. The record is from RNAcentral.